Molecule: long non-coding RNA, 1121 nt
Organism: Amphiprion ocellaris (clown anemonefish)
Lineage: Eukaryota; Metazoa; Chordata; Actinopteri; Pomacentridae
Source: Ensembl
CACGUUGUUUUCCAUGCUGGUUGUAGAGGGAGGUAGACGUAAUGGUAGUUCUCUGUGAAGCAAGGAAAACAGGAUCCAAACCGGGGACUUUCCAGCAUAUUGUCUGAAAUGUAUAUUUUGUGUAAUAGCGGACCGGACUAUGUGAGGUGAAUCGGCUUUGAAGGGGAAAGCUGUGUAUGCAGCUCAGCGCUGAAUUCUGCCGCCGGGAGUGACCGUGGCCGCGGACUGUAGUCGAGGAUUCGUUGUUCUGGUGCAGGAGUUGGAUCGCCGACCUCCUUUGUGGUGCAGGGGUUGGAUCGCCGACCUCCUUUGUGGUGCAGGAGUUGGAUCGCCGACCUCCUUUGUGGUGCAGGAGUUGGAUCGCCGACCUUCUUUCUGGUGAAGGAAUUGGAUCGCUGACCUCCUUUGUGGUGCAGGAGUUGGAUCACUGACCGUCUUUCUAGUGAAGGAAUUGGAUUGCCGACCUUCGACAUCAGUGGAUCUUUUUUGAUCCUGACAGGGAGUACAGCUUCUACAGGUGACAUGGGAAUGAUCAAACGUUGUGAACAACGGGAGUAAGAAAAAAGAGUGCAGCAAAUCUGUUAUUUUGACCAAAUAAUUUGUUAUUGAAACAAAAUUUUGGAUGUGUCUUGGAGAUAUUUAAAUAAUAAUAUUGAUAUCUCAGAAAAUAAGUGAUUUGAUUCAGUGUGUCAUUCCUCUGCGUGAAAUCAUUCCUGUCCUACUGCCUAAGACUCAGAAAAUCUUGUAGGUACAUAUAUUGGUCUUUAAAUCUCAAAACAGGACAUCACUGAUGAACUGUGGUGAUCCCAGACUGUGAGAUUUAUUUUUUGCAGUUUUGUUUGGACCUGGUUACAACAACAAGGCAGAAAGCUACUUUUUCUGUUUGUCAUUUAGCAAAUAAGUCACAGCAAGUGUUGCCUCUACCUAAUGUAGGCUAAUAAUAAACCUACACAAACUAAAUAUUCAGUUCUAGUAUACUGAUCAUAUGCUGUACCAGUUCACCAAAUAACAUUGGCUGUGAGGUCAUCGUCGUCAAGUUAUGUCGAUUAAUUGAUUAUUAAUUGAUUAUUAUUAUGGGUAGUCCAGCUUGUUAAGCAGGCAGGCAGUUGGUUAAUUUAGGU